RNAcentral lists this ribosomal RNA (504 nucleotides) under uncultured bacterium. Its description in RNAcentral is "partial 16S ribosomal RNA". It matches the Rfam family "Bacterial small subunit ribosomal RNA", at positions 30 to 523 of the family's 1533-position model. The record is from RNAcentral.
AUUGAACGCUGGCGGCACGCUUAACACAUGCAAGUCGAGCGGUAACAUGAUCUGUAGCAAUACAGAUUGAUGACGAGCGGCGGACGGGUGAGUAACACGUAGGAACCUGCCCAAAAGCGGGGGAUAACCAAGGGAAACUUUGGCUAAUACCGCGUAAUCUCGAGAGAGGAACGCUGCCCGCAAGGGUGGUGCUUUUGGAGGGGCCUGCGCCCGAUUAGCUAGUUGGUGAGGUAAUAGCUCACCAAGGCGAUGAUCGGUAACUGGUCUGAGAGGACGACCAGUCACACUGGGACUGAGACACGGCCCAGACUCCUACGGGAGGCAGCAGUGGGGAAUCUUGGACAAUGGGGGCAACCCUGAUCCAGCGAUGCCGCGUGGGUGAAGAAGGCCUUCGGGUUGUAAAGCCCUUUAGGUCGGGAAGAAGUGUGUAGGCUGAAUAAUCCUAUACAUUGACGGUACCGACAGAAUAAGCACCGGCAAACUCUGUGCCAGCCGCCGCGGUAA